CCUACGGGAGGCAGCAGUGGGGAAUUUUGCGCAAUGGGCGAAAGCCUGACGCAGCAACGCCGCGUGAGUGAUGAAGGCCUUCGGGUCGUAAAGCUCUGUCAGAGGGGAAGAACCACCUGUCGGUUAAUAUCCGGCAGGCCUGACGGUACCCUCAAAGGAAGCACCGGCUAACUCCGUGCCAGCAGCCGCGGUAAU
RNAcentral lists this ribosomal RNA (195 nucleotides) under uncultured Geobacter sp. RNAcentral's name for it is "partial 16S ribosomal RNA". It matches the Rfam family "Bacterial small subunit ribosomal RNA", at positions 338 to 524 of the family's 1533-position model. The record is from RNAcentral. Lineage: Bacteria; Pseudomonadati; Thermodesulfobacteriota; Desulfuromonadia; Geobacterales; Geobacteraceae.